RNAcentral lists this long non-coding RNA (573 nucleotides) under Olea europaea subsp. europaea. Lineage: Eukaryota; Viridiplantae; Streptophyta; Magnoliopsida; Lamiales; Oleaceae. The record is from RNAcentral.
UGAAAUAUUUUUUGCAGUUGUUUUGAGUUCAAAAUGGCAGCGAAGUACAUUCUUUCUUCAAUUGUGGGAACAGCUGCAAUUGCAUAUGUAUGCGACAAUUUAAUUGCUGACCAGAAGAUUUUUGGAGGCAAGUUCUUGCUAGCUUCUUUAAAACUCUGCUAUGUUUUAUGGUAUAAACUUACUCGGAUUUCAUUUCAGGCACUACUCCAAAGACUAUCUCAAGUACAGAAUGGUGGGUAGAGACUGACAAGAAGUUUCAGGCAUGGCCUCGUACUGCUGGUCCCCCUGUGGUCAUGAACCCUAUCAGCCGCCAAAAUUUCAUUGUCAAAUCCAGCCUUGAUCAAUGAAGUACUUCCUACUUGUCUUGACCCCUUUUCUGGUUUUCCGAUUAAGCAAAAACUUAAUUUCUAUAGUCAUUGAAAGCAUAGAAGUGAAGAGUGAAUCUCUUGUUGAAUUCUGUUUUGUUUACUUACGCUGAAUGUGAAUUCGUAAUAAGUGUUAUGCUUGCAUACUUGGGGAAUUAUUUCUCAUCUUUUGCAUAUUUGCUCUCUUCUUGGCCUUUCUUCCUCUGGC